AACGUAAGUUAGUAAGACUCCUGGAAGACCACCAGGUUGAUAGGUGAGGGGUGUAAGCAUGGUAACAUGUUCAGCUGACUCAUACUAAUAAGUCGAGGGCUUGAUCUAA
This 109-nucleotide ribosomal RNA is filed under the name Clostridium sulfidigenes. RNAcentral's name for it is "partial 23S ribosomal RNA". It matches the Rfam family "Bacterial large subunit ribosomal RNA", at positions 2818 to 2925 of the family's 2925-position model. Lineage: Bacteria; Bacillati; Bacillota; Clostridia; Eubacteriales; Clostridiaceae. The record is from RNAcentral.